Molecule: ribosomal RNA, 643 nt
Filed under: Streptomyces sp.
Lineage: Bacteria; Bacillati; Actinomycetota; Actinomycetes; Kitasatosporales; Streptomycetaceae
Description: bacterial SSU rRNA
Rfam family: Bacterial small subunit ribosomal RNA
Source: RNAcentral
CACUUCGGUGGGGAUUAGUGGCGAACGGGUGAGUAACACGUGGGCAAUCUGCCCUGCACUCUGGGACAAGCCCUGGAAACGGGGUCUAAUACCGGAUAACACUUCGGGCCUCAUGGUCUGUGGUUAAAAGCUCCGGCGGUGCAGGAUGAGCCCGCGGCCUAUCAGCUUGUUGGUGAGGUAAUGGCUCACCAAGGCGACGACGGGUAGCCGGCCUGAGAGGGCGACCGGCCACACUGGGACUGAGACACGGCCCAGACUCCUACGGGAGGCAGCAGUGGGGAAUAUUGCACAAUGGGCGAAAGCCUGAUGCAGCGACGCCGCGUGAGGGAUGACGGCCUUCGGGUUGUAAACCUCUUUCAGCAGGGAAGAAGCGAAAGUGACGGUACCUGCAGAAGAAGCGCCGGCUAACUACGUGCCAGCAGCCGCGGUAAUACGUAGGGCGCAAGCGUUGUCCGGAAUUAUUGGGCGUAAAGAGCUCGUAGGCGGCUUGUCACGUCGGGUGUGAAAGCCCGGGGCUUAACCCCGGGUCUGCAUUCGAUACGGGCUAGCUAGAGUGUGGUAGGGGAGAUCGGAAUUCCUGGUGUAGCGGUGAAAUGCGCAGAUAUCAGGAGGAACACCGGUGGCGAANGCGGAUCUCUGGGCC